This is a long non-coding RNA of Pieris brassicae (large cabbage white), 325 nucleotides long. RefSeq lists it as uncharacterized. The record is from RefSeq and is a predicted model, not a curated record. Lineage: Eukaryota; Metazoa; Arthropoda; Insecta; Lepidoptera; Pieridae. The transcript has 5 exons.
CGCAGAUUUGCUUUCGAAGGUAACAAGUGAAGGAAACAUGCUGAAACAAAUGUUUUUUGUUCUACUUAUUGCGAUGGUCAUUAUUGGCUCGUUCGCAAUUCCUGCUGAUCCAGUAGACCCCAAAGCCGCCGCCGCCGCAGCAACCCCUCCCGCGGGCGCAGCAGCCCCUCCCGCAGGUUUACCAACUGACAAUUCUGGUCUUGGAUUCUUCAGCCUGGUUACGAAAUCAUUCCAAAAGCUUUUUUAAGUGACGGAAAACAUGCAACGAUCACCAUUCAUCCAGGAACGCGACAUGCUUAAUUACAAAUAAAUAUCUUGAAUUUGA